AAACCUGUGAGAAUGCCCUCAAUCCCCCACCCGGGGACGAGGAGCAGGCAUCAGGCACAAACUUUAGCCCAAGACGCCUUGCCAUGCCACACCCCCAAGGGAAUUCAGCAGUGAUAAAUAUUAAGCCAUAAGUGAAAACUUGACUUAGUUAGGGAUAAGAGGGCCGGUAAAACUCGUGCCAGCCACCGCGGUUAUACGAGAGGCCCCAGUUGAUGGACACGGCGUAAAGGGUGGUUAAGGUCCAACAUGAAUAAAGCCAAAAGACCUCUUGGCUGUCAUACGCCCCUGAGUUUCCGAAGCCCACAUACGAAGGUAGCUUUAAUAACAUUCACCUGACCCCACGAAAGCUGAGAAACAAACUGGGAUUAGAUACCCCACUAUGCUCAGCUAUAAACUUAGGCGUUAUUUUACAAUAAACGCCCGCCAGGGUACUACGAGCAUUAGCUUAAAACCCAAAGGACUUGGCGGUGCCUUAGACCCCCCUAGAGGAGCCUGUUCUAGAACCGAUAACCCCCGUUAAACCUCACCACUUCUAGUCAUCCCC
Molecule: ribosomal RNA, 544 nt
Filed under: Misgurnus sp. OK
Lineage: Eukaryota; Metazoa; Chordata; Actinopteri; Cypriniformes; Cobitidae
Description: partial 12S rRNA
Rfam family: Bacterial small subunit ribosomal RNA
Source: RNAcentral